RNAcentral lists this ribosomal RNA (497 nucleotides) under uncultured bacterium. RNAcentral describes it as "partial 16S ribosomal RNA". It matches the Rfam family "Bacterial small subunit ribosomal RNA", at positions 28 to 507 of the family's 1533-position model. The record is from RNAcentral.
GAUGAACGCUGGCGGCGUGCCUAAUACAUGCAAGUCGAGCGAACAGACGAGGAGCUUGCUCCUCUGACGUUAGCGGCGGACGGGUGAGUAACACGUGGAUAACCUACCUAUAAGACUGGGAUAACUUCGGGAAACCGGAGCUAAUCCCGGAUAAUAUAUUGAACCGCAGGGUUCAAUAGUGAAAAACGGUUUUGCUGUCACUAAUAGAUGAAUCCGCGCCGCAUUAGCUAGUUGGUAAGGUAACGGCUUACCAAGGCAACGAUGCGUAGCCGACCUGAGAGGGUGAUCGGCCACACUGGAACUGAGACACGGUCCAGACUCCUACGGGAGGCAGCAGUAGGGAAUCUUCCGCAAUGGGCGAAAGCCUGACGGAGCAACGCCGCGUGAGUGAUGAAGGUCUUCGGAUCGUAAAACUCUGUUAUUAGGGAAGAACAAAUGUGUAAGUAACUAUGCACGUCUUGACGGUACCUAAUCAGAAAGCCACGGCUAACUACGUG